AUAUAUAUAUAUAUAUAUAUAUAUAUAUAUAUACUGUAUAUGUAUACAUGAAUACAAAACGGGCAAACCUCUGAGAUGCAGAAGCUCGCAGCCACACCUGCAGACUCUCAGAAUGUGCUGCAGGACACGUGUGCGCGUCUUCGUGUCACUGAUGCAGUUUUUUUUUUUUAAAAAAAGAACCAGUUUACCUCGGAAGCUCUCAGCCAUAGCAGACCUUAACCCCCACAGAUAUCUCAGCGCUGCAAGCAGCUUCGGAACUGCUGUGGCUGCCAUUACAAAGCAGGUACAUACUUUUUUGUUUUUCAGGAACAAACCCAGGGGCCUCAGCAGAGCCUCCCGGGCCAUUUGAAUGCGUACAGUGCAGGGUUUUUACAGAAACGGGACACAAGUCGAGAGUCCAUGUCAACACAGUCUUACCUCAGAAUCACAGUACAGAACCGGGAGUGGGGGGGCGGGGCUUACAUAUGAUAAUGGCAACCGUGAAUGACUAUUUUUUAUUCCUUCUCUUCCUUGUCUCUGGUGUUGUUGGGUAAAACAGUCUGCAGAACUCUUUCUUUUUCGCGUUUUUUUCCCCACUAUAAACAUAUAAAUAUAUAAACUGUACAUUAUGACAUAGAAGCACUAUCAAAGUUUGAUUGUUAGAUGUGCACUCGCAGCAUGAGGUAUUAUUCUUUAUUAUUCUUCAUAGCCCAGAAAAAUGAAAAAGUGAAAUAACAGCUUUUGGAAGUAAAAAAAAAAAAAAAAGCAAAAAAAAAAUAACGAAAACAAUGCAGUAGCAUCUACUGAUGUCAAAGAAAAUACCCAACCUCAUCCCACUACACACACACACACACACACACACACACACACACACACACACACACAGACCUUUACCCCAGCCCUGCCCCCCUCCAUCCAACCAAUUGCCCACCCCGCUGCCCCCCCGCCCCGUGUACAUGCCAGUGUUUCCCUCAUGUGUUCCAAGUGCCAAUAACUUUGUGAAUUCCUAACUGUGACCCAGUAAUAAAGAUAAUUGCACAUUAACUACUGUAAAGAGAAAAAGAAACCAGACUGAUUAAAAAUGAGGAAAAAUCUGAAUAUCUUAAUAAAAGGUUUGUAACAAACAGGACUGACCUUACAGCUGUGUUGGCUCUUUAAUUCCUCGUCUUUAUCCAGAACACCUUCCACGAUGGAAAGCAGUUUUAGCCCACAUGUUGUGCUGUUAUACUUUGGCUCUUAAGCCGCGAUUCCACAAGCACCUACUCGGCGCGGUGCGGCUCGGCUCGUCUUUGUUUGCGAGCGUUUCCAUAUGGAUUAGUGCAUGGUAUCAGGCACGAUUUUCCGUACCUUCUAGGCUGAGGUUCCAAGUGAGAUGAAGUGAGCCGAGAUGUGACGUCUACAUAGUGCAGGCCACUGAUUGGACAGGGAGUGACGACACACGAGAGCGACUCCAGCACGAAAACAAAACCGGCAUUUAAAAAAAACUAAACAGCGACGGUGUGCAUUGCUCUUCACGGACCUCUCUGUUCUUUAUAAUUUUAAUAUGACAGCCAGACCUGUACAGUGGGUGAAUGAAGAGGUUGAGACUUUUCUGUCUUUGGUAGUGGACCAAAGAAUACAGAGGGAGCUGGACAUAGAAAGUUUAUCAGGAGGUCUCUGAGCGGAUGGCCGCUCACAUAUACAGUAGACUGUAUAUAAAGAGGACAGAAGCAGUGUAGGGAGAAGCUGAAAAAGCUCAAAAAUGACUAUUGGUCCACCAAGGACCACAGCGGCCGGCGUGGGUCAACCAGGAGGUGUUGGAAGAGGUUUAAUUGAAGCUAUUUACUGGCACCACACCAGCCAGUAACAGGAGGGAGACUCAGCUGCUGCAUGUUGGAGACGUUCAAGAAUGGUGAGUGUUUUGUGACUUCAAGAAACUUUUACAUCAUUUAUCCCAUUGGUGGCAAGCUCCCUUUAAGCAAACAAGUAUAUUUAGAAAGUAACGUCCUUGUCUCCUGUAGCAGACAAUAAGCUAGCUAGUUAGCCAUCGGCGCUAGCUAGUUAGCCAUCAGCGCUAACUCUGUGCUCCGCUUGUAUUUCGUGCUGCUGUUUCUAACGUUUAGCUCUCAGAAGCUAAUACUUCAGUCAGCAUGACGAACUAAGCUAGUGGUCGUACAGGUUUAUGUUUUUCACAAGUUACAAUGUCGUAUUUUUCGUGUACUUAGGGUGAGUGUUUAUUUCUGUUCAAGAAUCCCUUUCCACAUGCGAAGCCUGCUCCACCUCCGUCAUGGAGCCCCCAGCUCCCUGCCUCCUCUCCAGCAUCAGCUUCAGCACCAGUACCAACUCGGACACCGACCCCGUCAACAUCAACCUCCAGCACGUCACAACAACGUCUUAUCACCGGCAAGAGGAAAAGGUGCAACAGAAAAUUGGACCUUCCAAGUGUCCUUGUGGAGAUGCAGGCUGAGAAGGAGCGGAACCGGCACCCAGCAUGAUGAGAACAUCUGGUUGCUCCUCAGCGAGGCAAGAGAGAAUGAAGCGGCCUUGCAGUGGAGGAGAUGGCCCAGAAUGCUGCCUUCAACCAGUCAUUCCUGGGUGUACUGGAGCAGCUGGGGCAGGUAGUACUGGGUGUGCUGGGGCAGCUGGGGCAGGUAGUACUGGGUGUGCUGGGGCAGCUGGGGCAGGUAGUACUGGGUGUGCUGGGGCAGCUGGGGCAGGUAGUACUGGGUGUGCUGGGGCAGGUAGUGGGCAGCCAGCGAGUCCACCUCACAGAGACUUGAGAUUUAGUUGUAUAUAGUUUUACUUUUAGCCCUCCACUGUAGGAGAGGCCCACCACAGUUUGUACUUUGAACAUUGUAAAUAGUUUUGAUUUUGCUGCUGACUAAUAAACUAUUUUGUGACUUA
Molecule: long non-coding RNA, 2862 nt
Organism: Amphiprion ocellaris (clown anemonefish)
Lineage: Eukaryota; Metazoa; Chordata; Actinopteri; Pomacentridae
Exons: 2
Source: RefSeq, a predicted model, not a curated record